This 987-nucleotide ribosomal RNA is filed under the name Streptomyces sp. 15MN15. RNAcentral's name for it is "bacterial SSU rRNA". It matches the Rfam family "Bacterial small subunit ribosomal RNA", at positions 32 to 1046 of the family's 1533-position model. The record is from RNAcentral. Lineage: Bacteria; Bacillati; Actinomycetota; Actinomycetes; Kitasatosporales; Streptomycetaceae.
GGCGUGGGGGCGUGCUUACCAUGCAAGUCGAACGAUGAACCGCUUUCGGGCGGGGAUUAGUGGCGAACGGGUGAGUAACACGUGGGCAAUCUGCCCUGCACUCUGGGACAAGCCCUGGAAACGGGGUCUAAUACCGGAUAUGACUGUCCAUCGCAUGGUGGAUGGUGUAAAGCUCCGGCGGUGCAGGAUGAGCCCGCGGCCUAUCAGCUUGUUGGUGAGGUAGUGGCUCACCAAGGCGACGACGGGUAGCCGGCCUGAGAGGGCGACCGGCCACACUGGGACUGAGACACGGCCCAGACUCCUACGGGAGGCAGCAGUGGGGAAUAUUGCACAAUGGGCGAAAGCCUGAUGCAGCGACGCCGCGUGAGGGAUGACGGCCUUCGGGUUGUAAACCUCUUUCAGCAGGGAAGAAGCGAAAGUGACGGUACCUGCAGAAGAAGCGCCGGCUAACUACGUGCCAGCAGCCGCGGUAAUACGUAGGGCGCAAGCGUUGUCCGGAAUUAUUGGGCGUAAAGAGCUCGUAGGCGGCUUGUCACGUCGGUUGUGAAAGCCCGGGGCUUAACCCCGGGUCUGCAGUCGAUACGGGCAGGCUAGAGUUCGGUAGGGGAGAUCGGAAUUCCUGGUGUAGCGGUGAAAUGCGCAUAUAUCAGGAGGAACACCGGUGGCGAAGGCGGAUCUCUGGGCCGAUACUGACACUGAGGAGCGAAAGCGUGGGGAGCGAACAGGAUUAGAUACCCUGGUAGUCCACGCCGUAAACGGUGGGCACUAGGUGUGGGGCAACAUUCCACGUUGUCCGUGCCGCAACUAACGCAUUAAGUGCCCCGCCUGGGGAGUACCGCCGCAGGGCUAAACUCAAAGGAUUUGACGGGGGCCCGCACAGCGGCGGAGAUGUGGCUUAAUUCUACGCACGCAAAGAACUUACCAGGCUUGACAUACACCGGAACCUCUGAGCAGCGCCCCCCUGUAGUCGGUGUAAGAGUGGUGCAA